This 87-nucleotide transfer RNA is filed under the name Alcanivorax sp. RNAcentral's name for it is "tRNA-Leu". It matches the Rfam family "tRNA". From Rfam's summary of the family: Transfer RNA (tRNA) molecules are approximately 80 nucleotides in length. Their secondary structure includes four short double-helical elements and three loops (D, anti-codon, and T loops). The record is from RNAcentral. RNAcentral also lists the same sequence under 4 other names. Lineage: Bacteria; Pseudomonadati; Pseudomonadota; Gammaproteobacteria; Oceanospirillales; Alcanivoracaceae.
GCCCGGGUGGCGAAAUUGGUAGACGCAUGGGACUUAAAAUCCCUUGUCCUUCGGGACGUGCCGGUUCAAGUCCGGCCCCGGGCACCA